This 623-nucleotide ribosomal RNA is filed under the name Laetiporus sulphureus. RNAcentral describes it as "eukaryotic LSU rRNA". It matches the Rfam family "Eukaryotic large subunit ribosomal RNA", at positions 54 to 650 of the family's 3401-position model. The record is from RNAcentral. Lineage: Eukaryota; Fungi; Basidiomycota; Agaricomycetes; Polyporales; Laetiporaceae.
AGGUUUAGAAACUAACGAGGAUUCCCCUAGUAACUGCGAGUGAAGCGGGAAAAGCUCAAAUUUAAAAUCUGGCGGUCUUUGGCCGUCCGAGUUGUAGUCUGGAGAAGCGUCUUCUGCGCCGGACCGUGUACAAGUCCCUUGGAACAGGGCGUCAUAGAGGGUGAGAAUCCCGUCCAUGACACGGACCGCCGGUGGUUUGUGAUGCGCUCUCGAAGAGUCGAGUUGUUUGGGAAUGCAGCUCAAAAUGGGUGGUAAAUUCCAUCUAAAGCUAAAUACUGGCGAGAGACCGAUAGCGAACAAGUACCGUGAGGGAAAGAUGAAAAGCACUUUGGAAAGAGAGUUAAACAGUACGUGAAAUUGCUGAAAGGGAAACGCUUGAAGUCAGUCGCGUCGGCCGGGGCUCAGCCUUGCAUUCGUUUGCUCGGUUUACUUCCCGGUCGACGGGCCAGCGUCGAUUUUGACCGUCGGAGAAGGGCCAGAGGAAAGUGGCACCUUCGGGUGUGUUAUAGCCUUCGGUCGCAUACGACGGUUGGGAUCGAGGAACGCAGCACGCCUUCAAUGGCCGGGGCAUUCGUGCCCACGCAUCGUGCUUAGGAUGCUGGCGUAAUGGCUUUAAACGACCC